Molecule: long non-coding RNA, 779 nt
Filed under: Lactuca sativa (garden lettuce)
Lineage: Eukaryota; Viridiplantae; Streptophyta; Magnoliopsida; Asterales; Asteraceae
Description: long non-coding RNA (LSAT_LNC004406)
Source: RNAcentral
ACAUAAGGUUAUGUCUCAUGUAUUGGAGUCACUGCAGGCGAACAUCCAUGUUCACUGGGGCUGAGUACUGUCAAGAUUGGAAAAUGAGUUAAUAGGUUAUCCACCUUAUCUUCCACAUGUCUUACCAAGUGACCACAAUUAUUUACGUUUUGAUCAUUACGGUAUCUAUGUUUAGGAAAAUCAAAUCACCAAAAUAUUUCCAUUUUUAGUUAUAUUAUAAGAUUUAAGAUUUGAAGUGUCUUGUUCAAACCUUUAAUAUAUAUCAACUUAUACCAAAUAAAAUAGUUCAUAGUUAUAAUCAUAAUAAGUACGAUCUCUAGAACCUUGAUUUGGUUUGUCGCCGGUUAAUGUUUAAAUAAUUUUUAUUUAUUUGCAAGUAUUAAUCUAUAGAAGGUUGAAUAAUUUGUGAGGAAAGCAUACCAUUCCUUGAAAGACGUAUAACAAUCGAAUAUAUAACUUAUGAGGAAAGCGCCAACAAUUUGCAAGUAUUAAUCUAUAGAAGGUCAUAAGUCGUCGGUACUACGCGGAGUGUUUCCCCUCUCAAAGUAAUAUAUAACUGUAGCAACAUAAAGAAUAAAAACCAUCCAAGACGAAGGCCGAGCAAGAAGCAAGAAAUAAGGAAAACAUAAACCUGGUUUUCGGUGGUGAGUUAUAUGAUGGGCGACUUCCCAGAAAGCAAUAUCUUUCAUUAUAACCAAUAUUUUGAUGAAGACCUUGCAGAAAUACCAUUGCUCCGAAGGGACACAAGUAGACUUCGUUUAAUUCAUAACACUCCUUUU